This 253-nucleotide ribosomal RNA is filed under the name uncultured bacterium. RNAcentral's name for it is "partial 16S ribosomal RNA". It matches the Rfam family "Bacterial small subunit ribosomal RNA", at positions 524 to 776 of the family's 1533-position model. The record is from RNAcentral.
UACGUAGGGUGCAAGCGUUAAUCGGAAUUACUGGGCGUAAAGCGUGCGCAGGCGGUGAUGUAAGACAGUUGUGAAAUCCCCGGGCUCAACCUGGGAACUGCAUCUGUGACUGCAUUGCUGGCGUGCGGCAGAGGGGGAUGGAAUUCCGCGUGUAGCAGUGAAAUGCGUAGAUAUGCGGAGGAACACCGAUGGCGAAGGCAAUCCCCUGGGCCUGCACUGACGCUCAUGCACGAAAGCGUGGGGAGCAAACAGG